This 253-nucleotide ribosomal RNA is filed under the name uncultured bacterium. Its description in RNAcentral is "partial 16S ribosomal RNA". It matches the Rfam family "Bacterial small subunit ribosomal RNA", at positions 524 to 776 of the family's 1533-position model. The record is from RNAcentral.
UACAUGGGGUGCAAACGUUGCUCGGAAUUAUUGGGCGUAAAGCGCGCGUAGGCGGUUACUUAAGUCGGAUGUGAAAGCCCUCGGCUUAACUGAGGAAGUGCACCCGAAACUGAGUAGCUAGAGUACGAAAGAGGGUCGCGGAAUUCCCGGUGUAGAGGUGAAAUUCGUAGAUAUCGGGAGGAACACCCGUGGCGAAGGCGGUUCUCUGGGACGGUACUGACGCUGAGACGCGAAAGCGUGGGGAGCGAACAGG